Molecule: transfer RNA, 72 nt
Filed under: Ornithorhynchus anatinus (platypus)
Lineage: Eukaryota; Metazoa; Chordata; Mammalia; Monotremata; Ornithorhynchidae
Rfam family: tRNA
About the family: Transfer RNA (tRNA) molecules are approximately 80 nucleotides in length.
Source: Rfam by way of RNAcentral
AGCAGCGUGGCUCAGUGGAAAGAACCUGGGCUUUGGAGUCAGAGGUCAUGGGUUCGAAUCCCAGCUCUGCCA